CACGCAGGGUGCGAGCGUUGUCCGGAAUUAUUGGGCGUAAAGAGCUCGUAGGUGGUUUGUCGCGUUGUUCGUGAAAACUCACAGCUUAACUGUGGGCGUGCGGGCGAUACGGGCAGACUGGAGUACUGCAGGGGAGACUGGAAUUCCUGGUGUAGCGGUGAAAUGCGCAGAUAUCAGGAGGAACACCGGUGGCGAAGGCGGGUCUCUGGGCAGUAACUGACGCUGAGGAGCGAAAGCGUGGGGGGCGAACAGG
RNAcentral lists this ribosomal RNA (253 nucleotides) under uncultured bacterium. Its description in RNAcentral is "partial 16S ribosomal RNA". It matches the Rfam family "Bacterial small subunit ribosomal RNA", at positions 524 to 776 of the family's 1533-position model. The record is from RNAcentral.